UGAGCCCCGGCAGCCAGCAGUACGUCGCAGCUCUGGCGAAUAAUUAUAUAAUUAUAUUUUUUCGUGUCCGCCCCCGCCAAUAAAAAGUACAAGUCGAGCGGAAUCGGAGUUGUGUGUGUGCGCGAAGAGUGUUUCUUGCGCGAAUUAGUGUGAUUUUUCCAAACAGCAAUUAAAUCAAAGAUUGCUUGUGCUAAUUAUCUGCCCAUAAACCCGACCACUUUGCAUAUUCUAUAUGCGGGCAACUGCCUCUCCCAAAUUUUUUGUUUGUGUGACUUUUUUCCUGUGCGUUUUCGACCCAAUUUAAAAUUCAUUUUUCAUGUGUGUGUAAAUGUUGCAAAUUAGUUUAUUGUCAAUUUGUUUCUUUUUAACUGUCCACUACCGACAUAGCUAAGGCACAUUUUAAGUGUAAAACCACCAUGUUAAAUUAAGAUCAAAUAUUGUACAAUUUUGUUCUGUGAAAACGCCAUUAAGAAGUUCCCUGACAAUUAAAAUUUAAUAAAUAAAAAGAGAGCCUUCAGCAGGUGGCAAGGGUAAGAAAGGGGUCGAAGGACACACGUGCCGCAAUACCGUCAAAACAAAAUGUAUGUUUAUGUUGACUGCCUUAGGGUUUCUAGAUGUAAAUGUACAAAUUUCUUUAUGUAUGCAAAGUCCCCCUACUUGACCAAAGAGGUAUCAGCAGCCACACAAACUUAUUACAGUACGGAUAUUUUAGCAAGGGCAAGGGAACGCGCAAGAUCGGGGGUGAAUGCAGUCACCCAAGAGCAGCAGCCAACAACAGCAAUAUUAAAUACAUUUAUUGUUGCUGACGAAAUUGCGCAGUUCGAUAUUGUAGAUCUAACUGUGGGACGUUAUAGAAUAGAAUAGAAUUAACACAUAUAUGUAAAUAUUUUUCACCUUUUUCGCUGCACUGACAGCCAUCACUUUUUUUUUCUUAUAUUACCUAUAUAUAUUUAUCUCUAGAGUUUUAAGUCACUUAUCUCUAAUGAAUUCCCUAUUGCCCUCCCCCGAUCAGUGGACUGCUGUUGGGGUCGAGGUAUUGUUUAAAUUUUAAAUGAAUGCGCAGACAGAGAUGUCGGAAGAGGAGAUUCCCGCUGCCGUAAAGUGACGUAUGCGCUGCCUAUGACUGAAAAACUGCAGUCAACAGGCAGACUCAUACAAUAUUUUUAAGUAAAAUAGCAGCCCCAUGAAAUUGUAAUAUUAUGCUAAGUAUAGUAUAAAUACAAUAAAAUCCACCUUAUCGUAACGUAUACUGGCUCCCCUGAACCUGCUGGUUCAGGUCCAGGAUGGAGUUGGUUUACGUUACGAUUAGACACUUUCGUAUUGCCACCGCAGCAUACGACAAACAAAAAAAAAAACCUAUUGUUGAAAAGUGAAAAAACGUGGGGAAGGCCGCAGCCUCUGCUGCUCCCCCCCACCUGUCAGUGACGUUUGCUUACAUAGCAAAACAAUUAAAAACAAUAAAAACAAUUCAAAAUGGUUCGGAAACCUGGCCCAAAGUCCAAAAAGACCAAUGCUGCUUCGAGUGCAGCCUCAUCGGACAACGAAAAUAGCG
This 1552-nucleotide long non-coding RNA is filed under the name Drosophila guanche. Lineage: Eukaryota; Metazoa; Arthropoda; Insecta; Diptera; Drosophilidae. The record is from RNAcentral.